AGAGAUUGUCUAACUAUCACAAUCAUUCGGCAUUUACAUCAUUUGAAUAUAUUACAUUUUCAUCUUCCAAAAUGUAAGUACAUGUUUUCUUCAAAAUACAAGUUGCCUUCCCAUAACUAACAAAACAUCAACUAGUACACGAGGGUACUCUAAUGCAUAAAGGAAAAGCUACUAACUAGGCUCACUUAGGGCGCUAUGCCCUUGCCGCGGUCCUCGCUCGGCUCGCCUCUGCGUGUACCUGUACCCCAAAAGCACACGGGGUGAGAACUAUAUAAAUAUAGUUCCCAGUGGGUUCGGCCGCCGACGCCGCCGGUUUUCCCACUAGGUCCAAGCUGACACAGAUAGAUAGAUACAAAGGUAGAUAGAAAUAAACUGCUACUAUAUCUACUAUGCCAUCAAAUGCAAGGAAUGCAUGGAACAUCAUUUAGCAAUAACCUACUAUCAUGCUAAUAUGCUUCAACAAUGUAAUAAAUACAACUGCAACAUAGUUAUGCUGUCUACUAUGUCUAAUCAUGACAUGAAUGCAAUCCACUUAUGCUAUUCAUGUUUCAACCCAAUCGACUAGGCCAAAUUGCCUAAGAUCUCAAAUCUCAAAGGUCCUAGACAAAGAGCUACCCCGCUCCUUGCCCGACUCAAUCUCGAAGGUCCUAGGCAAAGAGUUACCCCGCUCCUCGCCCGACUCAAUCUCGCUCUACUAGGUACGAGCUGCUACAUAGUAAUGGAAUAUACACAUGCUACUAUGCCUCUGUAAUCAUGGAAUGCAUGAACAUAGCAAUGAUAUUCUACUAAUCAUGAUACUAUGCUUCAACAAUAAUAGAAAUGAGCUACUACAUAGUGAUGUAUCUACAACAUGCUACUAUGUCUCAAUGUCAACUCAAGGUAUGAAUGCAAAUCUGCUAUGCCAUUCAUAUUCUUUACCCAAUCUGCUUGGAAAUGAGCUACUACAUAGUGAUGUAUCUGCACAUGCUACUAUGCCUCAAUAAUCCGAAUGAACGAGCUACUACAUAGUGCGUCGUGCAACUAUGCCUCGAUAGUAUCCAAUCUCAUGGCUAACCCGAAGGUUGCCACCCCGGGGUCAACCCCGACUCACUCUCAAUCUCAUAGGUGAGGAGAAUCUGCACUCGCACACCGAGACCGUCUGCGGGACAACUACGUCUGCCCCUAGUGAAGUACUCCGGAGACUCGUGCUUCGGUGGAGCGACCACCGACAAGCAAAAACAGACUAGUGAGUAUGAUCCAAUCCUCACAAGAGGAUACCCUAUCUACCAGGGUCAAUGUGCCUCUGCUGCACAAUACCAAAUGCAUAAUCAAUGCCUCAAAUGCACUAAUGCCAAAUGCAUAAUGUCUACAACAUGACAAUCGGGAAAAUCUACUAUCCCUAGGUUCAAAUGCCAUAGUGUUUCACUACACUAGAUUUGAUGCCACUCGUUUAUGUCAUGAUGUUAUAUGUGUCUUAAUACACUAAAUCGACAUGCCACUCGUCAAUAUUAUAGUGUCUUUAUUACACUAGUCCAAACGCCACUCGUCUAGGCCAAUUACAUGUCCAAGUUCAUCAUCAUUCUUGUCACUAUAGGAUUCUUGUCGCAAGACCCAAUCCUCAUGCAACCUAAGAUCAAGUGUCAAGCCCACAAUGCUACACAACCUAGGUAACAUGCAAGGAAUGGAAAUGUAAUCAUCUACUAAUCCUAUAAUGCAUAAUAUAUCAACAUAUAGGAAUACGAUCAACAUAUAGAACUUAGACAUAAAAGGAAGCUCAGUUGCUUCGGGAUGGACACCCCCCACCUUUUAAUGCUACCAAGAGGCUAGGGUUCCGAUUUCGUGAUUUUUGAAAGCUUUUGCCGCGAGCUGCGGCAAUCUAUACCUUAACGGCUUCGUUCUUUAAUAUCUUCACGUAGCCUCGUCGUAUCGCCGAACCGACUUCGCCAACGCGUCAGAAAACCUAGCAAUUAGGUUUAUACAUGAUCAAUUUAGAUCAAAACCCCUCACAAGCAAAACCCCUCUUUUGAUGCCCUAAGAUGCAACUAUGCAAGAAUUCAUCAUUUGAUCUCUAAAUUCGAGCAUCAACCAUCUAUUUAGCAUCCAGGAGUUUCACUAAACCCAUUUCUAAGGCAUACAAAUCACUACUUAGCAAUCUAUCAUUGUUGCUAUCAAAGCUUACCUCUCAAACCCAAGCUCUCUUCAAGCCAAUGGUGAAGAAAAGAAAGCUUCACCUCUAAGCAAGCUUUUUCUUCUCCAAAUCCACCUCCAACUCCUCUCUUUGGUGGAGAAAUUGCUAGAGAGAGAGAGAGAGAUCUUUCUCUUUGGUUGCAAGUGUGAGGGAAUGAGAGAAAAGGCUCAAUCCUUCAUAUAUAUAUGUAUAUAGGAAACUUGACCUCCAAGUUUCAUAGGAAACUUGACCUCCAAGUUAUCCAAGAACACUAUUCACAUUCAGUUUAGCAGCACGGUACAAAUUUUUUUCAUCUGCCCUUCUGAACGUCCGUUUGAGCUCAAAUUUGGCAGUCAUGCUCGGUUUUAUUUAACUUACUGAAAGAAAUUUUAAUCUUUCAGUUUCGACCCCGUUUGGUCACCGAAAACUCUACCGAACUGUAAUCUUUAUCAGAUAACUGUCGGAUUUUAUUUUCUACCUUCUAGGUGUCAGAAUGGGCUGAAACUUUAAAUCUAGUCUCACAAAAAUAAUUCUGACUUAUCCUCCAGUUUUCAAAAUUUUCUGACACUGUGCAUUUUCUGCCAAUUUAUCUGCCCCGUUUCACACAGAAAAUUCUAAAUAUUCUGUUUUCGCUUUGAUUUCAGCACGGAUCAUUCCAGACUUAUAUUUCACUUCUCUAAAUCCUAUAAAAAUAGUAUCUCAUACUAUUUUUAUUUAUUUUCACUUUUAUAUUUAAAAUUCGGUAUGUUACAUUCCACCGCAAUCUCACCGGAACCAUUUAAAUGUACAUCGUAACUUCAUAGUUUUAGAAGUCAGGUACCUUACAUCCUCCCCUCCUUAAAAAGAGUUUCGUCCUCGAAACUCAAAUCUCAUCUAAAUUCGAGUUUUCGAGCAUCUGGGGGUAAUAAUGCACUUUUGCACUCCGGAGUAGUCUUUUUCUCAUCGGAACUAUCCAAAGGCCCACUACAGAGGAUGUGAGGCUAGAUUCACUCACAUUUGCUAAACGUAACUUCGAAAGUGCAUUACGGGCCUCCGUCAUUCUUGGUGGUAGCGCAAAUCGAAACUCAACGACUCUGUGCGCUCCAACACCAUUCAUCAUCUGACAUGCAAGGACUCUUCUUUGCAUUUACCUUCCCCCUUCAGGACAUUCCGACUCGAUCACAAACAUUGCUCAACAGCAAUAUGAUUGGUGUAUCACCCAAUCACGAGUGUUCUAACCACAUUCGGACCUUGCUCUACCGCGAGACGGCCUACCCCGGCAUAUCUCGACUCUUAAUCCACAAGAGAGCAUUGUCCACAAUUCCAUGUGGCUAUCCUGUAUUCAAGUGUCUCCAAGAGACCACUUUUCCUUACCUCUCAAUUGCCACUUCUAACCUUAAAUCGCUCUACUACGAGAUAGCCUACCCCGGCACAUCUCGAUUUCCAACCCUCAAGAGAGCACUAUCUUCAAGUUCUCCAACUUCUCCAACAUGACCCAGCCCGCCUUGGCAAAUUUCAGACUCGGGGACCGGUCUUGCCCUACCUGGGACCGGUUGCCCCGCGCUGCGCAACCCUCCGCCUCGGGGCAACUGGUCCCUCCCUCCUAGGACCGGUCCCCGAGAGCAAGCUCGCGCAGACCAUGUUCGGGAACCAGUCCCUCCCGCCAGGGACCGAUCCCCGAGAGCAAAUCUGCCAAGUGCAAAUUCUUGCACCAUUUGCUCUCGCGGACUCCAUUGUAAUGCACUUUUGGUGCAUUCAACGUCUUCGGCUUUUACGAAGCACUCCCAUUUGACAAUUAGUCGAUCUUGAGCGAAGUUCAACUCUCGUAUUUCGAAAAUUCACUUCCUUGCUCCCAACUCCUCCACAGAGUUAUCGGCUAAACCGAUUACGUCAGCUUUCACAGGUGGACCAACGGUCGUAAUACCACGUCGGCAUACUCCUAAACCUGUCGUAACUACGCACAGCGUCUCUCGCUCACAUCGUAGAUCCAAUCAUAACCGGGUGAACUUCUCACUUGGGAAUUCGCACGCACUCCAAACCACGUCAAGUUCUCGGGUUGGGGUCACAUUCAAACUUGGUGUAUCCUCGAUCACAUGAUCCAAUGCGUGGCAUUCCACGCUCCCGGGUCUAAGCUCGGACUACCGUCCUGACCAAAACUCUGCCCUACCCAUAGGUACCGGGCCGCUGCCACUCGCAGCCGACUGUGCCUACCCAAUGGGCCCAGGCUUCACAAUCCACAAAUGGUCCAGGCACGGGUUGUCCCCAAGCACUACACGCCGUCGUCGUCCUACAUGACAUGUUCUACCGAGCCACAUAUACUACUGUCGGCUCCUACUCGGCUACUCUCUCAACAGUGAUUCUACUCUCACUGUUCGAUCUACCGAAAUAAUAUUCGAGAUGCUCAAGCCACUCGGGUAUUCGCAUGUCACUGCGCAACUCUCGCAAUUCGAUACUCACUGCCUUGAGAGUCGCUUCACCGUUUCGUCUGUACCACGAGUCUCACUUAUCGCCCAACAAUCAUCACCGGCAAGUUGCUAGUGCCAUCCAACUCUCUACCUGCUGCCGGCAGAACUCCAGCCAACUGCCUCGGAGCCACUGGGGCGAAUGUAACAAACAGUGCAGGCGACGCUCCCUCUGGGCAGUAACGGCUUAUAUGCCCUGCCCGACCACACCUGAAGCACCGUUCCGCCUUAUGCUCACAAUUUCCUGCGCGAUGCUCUCCACCGCAGAUCACACAUCGCUUAGGUCCAUAGCCAUCGGACCACCUCACCCGAUACUUCGGGGGCUUCUGGGAACUAAACUGUCCCCCCGAACUACCGCCAGGUCGUUUCUUUCCCUUAUCCUCUUCGAACGCCUUGCGCUCGCAUUCGACCUCCUCAGCCAUCGCAUCGAGAAUCGCAGAACCCGAAGCCGCCAGAGGUACACCAACCGACGAGGAAUGUACCGCCACCGGAACCGCUGCCAGGCCCUCACCCUCAGCCGCAUCAAGCGCGCGAAUCGAGGGCGCGGGCGGACCACGACCUUCAAUUGCCGUCGCGGCCAUCGCCGCUACCAGCCGCUCCAAACGCUCCUGGAGCCGCUCGAUCAAACUCCCUUGGCGUUGAACCACGCCAAUUAGUGCAGUCAUCUGCGCCCGCAGUUCCUGGACCUCACUUGAUCCAGCUUGUUCUGGCACCUCAGCAGGCUGUGCCGGAACGGAUCUACGCACGUAGUGUCUCAUUGGUGCCAUUAGCUCCUGAAACACUACAACUUGGUUAAUCACCUUAACCCAUUAAUCUCGUCGCAACUACUAGACAACGCGACUCAACUCCACCAUAAGCAGACGUACACCAUUGUAUUAGUCCUAACUCUUAGCGUCAUGUUGUCGGCCGCCAACACAAACUCCUCGAGCUCGGAACUAACACCGCUCGGAUCUAUCUCUAGUCACAUUAGAGAUCUAUACUCGAUCCGACCCAAUCGAAUUCUUCCUCAAUCGAUUCAGGUUUACGUUUCUCUCACGUACCUAUACAAUCCUAGGGUUCACCAUCCUAAGGUCUCUUAGGUCCAUCCUAGACUCUCUCUUUACUUGCUGUUAAUUGCUCUGAUACCAACACUAUCUGUCACGCCCCGCCCCGAAUCCAAUACCAAUUUGACACGGUUUGGGCACGCCGGACGGACCGCCGAACGGACAGCACCUUUCCUGUCCACCCAAGGCUAAGUAACCAGAUCAUGUACAGUUAAGCGCCCAGGGAAUGCUUAAAUAACAGACAUGAUCGAUACGAUGCACACAAGUGCACAAUAACUAAGAGCAAGAACCACAAGUGAAUGUACAAGUGUAUAAAGAGAGAUAGUCUAACUAUCACAAUCAUUCAACAUUUACAUCAUUUGAAUAUAUUACAUUUUCAUCUUCCAAAAUAUAAGUACAUGUUUUCUUCAAAAUACAAGUUGCCUUCCCAUAACUAACCAAACAUCAACUAGUACACGAGGGUGCUCUAAUGCAUAAAGGAAAAGCUACUAACUAGGCUCACUUAGGGCGCUAUGCCGUUGCCGCUCUCCUCGCUUGGCUCGCCUCUGCGUGUACCUGUACCCCAAAACCACAUGGGGUGAGAACUAUAUAAAUAUAGUUCCCAGUGGGUUCAGCCGCCGACGCCGCCGGUUUUCCCACUAGGUCCAAGCUGGCACAGAUAGAUAGAUAGAAAGGUAGAUAGAAAUAAACUGCUACUAUAUCUACUAUGCCAUCAAAUGCAAGGAAUGCAUGGAACAUCAUUUAGCAAUAACCUACUAUCAUGCUAAUAUGCUUCAAUAAUGUAAUAAAUACAACUGCAACAUAGUUAUGCUGUCUACUAUGUCUAAUCAUGGCAUGAAUGCAAUCCACUUAUACUAUUCAUGUUUCAACCCAAUCGACUAGGCCAACUUGCCUAAGAUCUCAAAUCUCAAAGGUCCUAGAAAAAGAGCUACCCCGCUCCUUGCCCGACUCAAUCUCGAAGGUCCUAGGCAAAGAGUUACCCCGCUCCUCGCCCGACUCAGUCUCGCUCUACUAGGUACGAACUGCUACAUAGUAAUGGAAUAUACACAUGCUACUAUGCCUCUGUAAUCAUGGAAUGCAUGAACAUAGGAAUGAUAUUCUACUAAUCAUGAUACUAUUCUUAAACAAUAAUGGAAAUGAGCUACUACAUCGUGAUGUAUCUACAACAUGCAAUGUCAACUCAAGGUAUGAAUGCAAAUCUGCUAUGCCAUUCAUAUUCUUUACCAAAUCUGCUUGGAAAUGAGCUACUACAUAGUGAUGUAUCUGCACAUGCUACUAUGCCUCAAUAAUCCGAAUGAACGAGCUACUACAUAGUGCGUCGUGCAACUAUGCCUCGAUAGUAUCCAAUCUCAUGGCUAACCCGAAGGUUGCUACCCCGGGGUCAACCCUGACUCACUCUCAAUCUCAUAGGUGAGGAGAAUCUACACUCGCACACCGAGACCGUCUGCGGGACAACUACGUCUGCCCCUAGUGAAGUACUCCGGAGACCCGUGCCUUGGUGGAGCAACCACCGACAAGCAAAAAUAGACUAGUGAGUAUGAUCCAAUCCUCACAAGAGGAUACCCUAUCUACCAGGGUCAAUGUGCCUCUGUUGCACAAUACCAAAUGCAUAUUCAAUGCCUCAAUUACACUAAUGCCAAAUGCAUAAUGUCUACAACAUGACAAUCGGAAAAAUCUACUAUCCCUAGGUUCAAAUGCCAUAGUGUUCCACUAUACUAGAUUUGAUGCCACUCGUUUAUGUCAUGAUGUUAUAUGUGUCUUAAUACACUAAAUCGACAUGCCACUCGUCAAUAUUAUAGUGUUCUUAUUACACUAGUCCAAAUGCCACUCGUCUAGGCCAAUUACAUGUCCAAGUUCAUCAUCAUUCUUGUCACUAUAGGAUUCUUGUCACAAGACCCAAUCCUCAUGCAACCUAAGAUCAAGUGUCAAGCCUACAAUGCUACACAACCUAGGAAACAUGCAAGGAAUGGAAAUGUAAUCAUCUACUAAUCCACAUCUACUAAUCCUAUAAUGCAUAAUAUAUCAACAUAUAGGAAUAUGAUCAACAUAUAGAACUUAGACAUAAAAGGAAGCUCAGUUGCUUCGGGAUGGACACCCCCCACCUUUUAUCGCUAUCACGAGGCUAGGGUUCCGAUUUCGUAAUUUUUGGAGGCUUUCGCCGCGAGCUGCGGCAAUCUGUACCUUAACGGCUUUGUUCUUUAAUAUCUUCACGUAGCCUCGUUGUAUCGCCGAACCGACUUCGCAAACGCGUAUGAAAACCUAGCAAUUAGGUUUAUACAUGAUCAAUUUAGAUCAAAACCCCUCACAAGCAAAACCCCUCUUUUGAUGCCCUAAGAUGCAACUAUGCAAGAAUUCAUUAUUUGAUCUUUAAAUUCGAGCAUCAACCAUCUAUUUAGCAUCCAAGAGUUUCACUAAACCCAUUUCUAAGGCAUACAAAUCACUACUUAGCAAUCUACCANCAUUGUUGCUAUCAAAGCUUACCUCUCAAACCCAAGCUCUCUUCAAGCCAAUGGUGAAGAAAAGAAAGCUUCACCUCUAAGCAAGCUUUUUCUUCUCCAAAUCCACCUCCAACUCCUCUCUUUGGUGGAGAAAUUGCAAGAGAGAGAGAGAUCUUUCCCUUUGGUUGCAAGUGUGAGGGAAUGAGAGAAAAGGCUCAAUCCUUCAUAUAUAUAUAUGUAUAUAGGAAACUUGACCUCCAAGUUACAUAGGAAACUUGACCUCCACGUUAUCCAAGAACACUAUUCACAUUCAGUUUAGCAGCACGGUACAGAUAUUUUUCGUUUGCCCUUCUGAACGUCCGUUUGAGCUCAAAUUUGG
Molecule: long non-coding RNA, 8447 nt
Filed under: Ananas comosus (pineapple)
Lineage: Eukaryota; Viridiplantae; Streptophyta; Magnoliopsida; Poales; Bromeliaceae
Description: long non-coding RNA (ACOM_LNC036347)
Source: RNAcentral